GUCAAGCUACAAAGGGCUCACGGCGGAUACCUUGGCACACAGAGGCGAUGAAGGACGUGGUUACCUGCGAUAAGUCUCGGGGAGCUGGAAACACGCUUUGAUCCGGGAAUUUCCGAAUGGGGCAACCCCUAGAACGGCCAGCUGAAUCUAUAGGCUGGCGCGAGCCAACCCAGCGAACUGAAACAUCUUAGUAGCUGGAGGAAAGGAAAGUAAAAACGACUCCCUAAGUAGCGGCGAGCGAACGGGGAAGAGCCUAAACCAAUGGUUUCGACCAUUGGGGUUGUGGGACAGCAAUGUGGAUCAGGAAUGUUAGUGGAAGUGUUUGAAAGACACGCCACAGAGGGUGAAAGCCCCGUACACGAAAACUGAACUGACCUAGCUGUAUCCCGAGUAGCACGGAGCACGUGGAAUUCCGUGUGAAUCAGCGAGGACCACCUCGUAAGGCUAAGUACUCCUGUGUGACCGAUAGCGAAACAGUACCGCGAGGGAAAGGUGAAAAGAACCCCGGGAGGGGAGUGAAAUAGAACAUGAAACCGUGAGCCUACAAGCAAUGGGAGCCCUACUAAUAGGGUGACCGUGUGCCUGUUGAAGAAUGAGCCGGCGACUUAUAGGCACUGGCGGGUUAAACCGGAAAUGGUGGAGCCAUAGCGAAAGCGAGUCUGAAUAGGGCGUUUAGUUAGAUGAAUUAGACCCGAAACCGGGUGAUCUAGCCAUGGCCAGGUUGAAAGCAGAGUAAAAUCCGCUGAAGGACCGAACCCACUACUGUUGAAAAAGUAGGGGAUGAGCUGUGGUUAGGGGUGAAAUGCCAAUCGAACCCGGAGCUAGCUGGUUCUCCCCGAAAUACGUUGAGGCGUAGCGUCUCGUGCUCCAGCAGGGGGGUAAAGCCACCAUUUCGGUGCGGGCUGCGAGAGCGGUACCAAAUCGAGAUGAACUCUGAAUACCCUGUGUGUAGCGAGGCAGUCAGACUGUGGGGGAUAAGCUCCAUGGUCGAGAGGGAAACAGCCCAGACCGCCAGCUAAGGUCCCCAAAUCAACACUAAGUGAUAAAGGAGGUGGGAUUGCCCAGACAACCAGGAGGUUUGCCUAGAAGCAGCCAUCCUCAAAGGAGUGCGUAAUAGCUCACUGGUCGAGCGAUCCUGCGCCGAAAAUGAAUGGGGCUAAGUGUUGUACCGAAGCUGCGGAUUUAUGGUAGGGGAGCGUUCUAUGUGGGGCGAAGCGUUAGCGUGAGCGGGCGUGGACUGCAUAGAAGUGAGAAUGUCGGCUUGAGUAGCGAAAACAUGGGUGAGAAUCCCAUGCACCGAAACCCUAAGGGUUCCUCCGGCAGGCUCGUCCGCGGAGGGUUAGUCUGGACCUAAGGCGAGGCCGAAAGGCGUAGUCGAUGGACAGCAGAUUAAUAUUUCUGCCCCGCUUUUGUGGAGUGAUGGGGUGACGCAUUAGGAUAGGCCAACCGGAGCUAUGGCUAUGCCCGGCGGGUAACGAAGCUUUUCAGGAUAGGAAAAUCCGCCUGAUACUAGAGUGACGUUAUUCGGGAAGGCCCCAAGGGGCUGAUAACUGGUUGAAUCCACGGUGCCAAGAAAAACCUCUAAACGUUGAAGCAAGAGCGCCCGUACCGAUAACCGACACAGGUGGGCGAGUGUAAAAGCACUAAGGCGCGCGAGAAAACUCUCUCUAAGGAACUCUGCAAAAUGGCCCCGUAACUUCGGGAGAAGGGGUCCCGUGUGUACCGUGAGGCAACUUGCGGGAGACGGGCACAGUAAAUCGGCUCUAGCGACUGUUUACCACAAUCACAGCACUCUGCAAACCCGCGUAGGGGACGUAUAGGGUGUGACACCUGCCCGGUGCCGG
This 1844-nucleotide ribosomal RNA is filed under the name Ochromonas sp. CCMP1393. RNAcentral's name for it is "partial Bacterial large subunit ribosomal RNA". It matches the Rfam family "Bacterial large subunit ribosomal RNA", at positions 1 to 1872 of the family's 2925-position model. The record is from RNAcentral. Lineage: Eukaryota; Chrysophyceae; Chromulinales; Chromulinaceae.